AUGCCCUGAGCUCAAGAUGGGUCAUUGGAAAUUGUGAAAAGCAAGAGCUAGAGAUGAGUCAGAGUGGAAUUAGAAUUUGCACGUGUAGCAGUGAAAUGAGAUAGAGAUGUGGAGCAAGUGCCGAUGGCGAAGGCAGCCUCCUGGGACGAGACUGACGCUCAUACACGAAAGCAUCAGGAGCAAUCAGGAUUCGAUAUCGUGCUAGUCCUCACCGUAAACUAUGUCAUGUAGUGGUGUUUGAUUCAUUUCGUCAGUCACGUAGCUCAUGCGUCAAUUUGCCUGCGUAGUGAGUACGGUCGCAAGAUUAUCACUCAAAGGAAUGGACGGGGACCCGCACAAGCGAUCGAUGAUGUGGAUUAAUAGGAUGCAACGCGACAAACCUUACUUACCCCAUCCUUGCCACUAUCGAAGCAGAGAUGCUUCCCGUGCCGGAAACAGAAAGUCGACUCAGGCAUGGCAGUGCUGUGCUCAUCUCGUGUGAUGAUAUGUUAAGUCAAGUCCCGCGCCCAGCCCAUCCGUUGACUCUCGAUCAUUCACAAGAGCACUCUAAAGAGACUGCCGGUGACAAACCGGAGGAAGGUGGGGAUGACGUCAAGUCAUCAUGCCCCUUAUGAUUAGGGCUACACACGUCAUACAAUGGUCAGUACAGAGGGCAGCCAACCCGCGAGGUCGAGCUAAUCUCAGAAAAGCGCAUCGCAGUUCGGAUCGUAGUCUGCAACUCGACUAUGUGAAGCUGGAAUCGCUAGUAAUCGUAGAUCAGCAUGCCGCGGUGAAUACGUUCCCGGGUCUUGUACACACCGCCCGUCACACCAUGAGAGUGGGUAACACCAGAAGUAGUUAGCAGUACCCCUAGGAGGUAGCUUGUCCACGGCGG
This 874-nucleotide ribosomal RNA is filed under the name Cupriavidus gilardii. RNAcentral's name for it is "bacterial SSU rRNA". It matches the Rfam family "Bacterial small subunit ribosomal RNA", at positions 598 to 1465 of the family's 1533-position model. Lineage: Bacteria; Pseudomonadati; Pseudomonadota; Betaproteobacteria; Burkholderiales; Burkholderiaceae. The record is from RNAcentral.